CUUAACAGCAGAAUCAAAUAAACAAAAUGAAUUUUUACUGCCCGCAUUCCAAAAAAACACACACACGAAUCUUCAAUAAUACUCCAUUUCCUGGCAUAAAAAGCCCAAGGACCGUACAUUAAAGUUUAAUGUCGGGAGUGAAAAUGUGUAGCCAUAAAAAUCAUUUAAAUGUUUGUUUUUCCGAGAACCCAUCCCAUCCUCUUUUAUUGUCACGUGUGAAAAUACUUUUGGGAGUCUGACAAAGCCGGCUUAAAUUUUAAUAGAUAUGUUACAAUUUUGAUUUGAAAAGUGCCUGGAAGAGCACACGACUAGCUCUCUGACAUAACCACUUUGUACUGCAGAAAAAUGCGUUAACAUUUCGAUCGAACAAUGAAGUAAAAUAUGCGAGACUUGGAAAAUGCCAGGAAUAAACCAAGGGACGGCAAAAAGUCAACAGUGAACGGGAACGAGCGGCCAAAAAUAAAUUUCCAGCCGCAAAUCCUUGACAAAUCUGCUGCAUUGGCUUUGGCGGCGGUCCUUCGAGAUACAUCUUUAUUGCCUCAUUUUGCCUAAAGUCGAUUCUAUUUGUAUACUCUGCCAAGGGGCGCGCUUGAAUUUGUCGAGCGUUUGACAUUUCAAAGGUUAAAAAAGUUUUUAUUAUAUGUGUGUUUGAAUUUAAAGCAACUUGACAUUGAGCGAAAUAUCUAUUGAGAUACUCAACCACAUACUCCUUAGCUUUCUUAGCCACAGGCCAUCUAAAAAGUGUAUUUAACCGUUGACAACAGUGAAGUAGGUAUUUUUUAAAUUUCCAAGAGUUACUUCAGUUUUUUGCGAGCAUUUCUCCUUUUUUUGUGGUCAAAACUAAGAGGGUUUAAGGCAGUGUCUUCGGAGUGCGGAGUGGAAAAAAAAGAAAAGGGCUCAGGGAGAUAACAUGGCUGAGGAAAAGUCCGCAUUGAAACGGUAGUCAACAAUGGCAACACGACUACAUCAGGACGAAACUUUUCCGGAAAAGCAGGCGAAAUAAAAACCUUAAGUAUUUCAAACAGCCGGGAGAAGCGGAAAAUAUGAUAUGUAAACGGGUAAACUUAUAUUCGUGACCAUUAAGACUCUGGCUCUCCUCCGUUGAGUAAACAGUACACACUUUUUCACUUCUGCAGCUACUUCUCGAAAAAUUGUCUAUUUUCAUGGGGUUAAAGUAUUGUUAAAGUGUGGAAAAAUGAAUGAGCGAGAAGUUGCGAGUAUAUUAUACUUACAUUAUGAAUGUAUCGCCGUCAUGUGAGAGUCCAGUCCGUGCACCUUGAGUGUAAUUUAAAUACAACCGGAUAAAAUUACGAAGUGCCGGAUACGGAUGCUGUGCAAACAUACAGCCACGACAGAAUCCAAAACUUGAUGUUUACUUUUCCGCAGCUGAUGAUUUUCCCGGCGCUUCGUUGCUUGGCUUUUCAUGCGUAGAUUGCUCAUACAGCCUCCAUUCCAUAUUAUUUUACACUAUUUUUUCCGUCGAACUUUCCGGCAGACACUUCCUUAUUAUUCUUUGUCCAGCACGGAAAUUAAUUUAAUUACUCUUAUUUUGUUUAUUUAGCAUUUCAGGGAGCCGUUAAUUGCCGGUUUGCAUUAAUGGUUCGCUAAUCAGUUGCAAACACAAACAAAAGGGCAUUCCAUCCUGUUCGAAAUGAACACUUAUAGCUGGUAAAUAAUGUGUAGUGUAUUUGCCGGACUACAAAUGCAAUUGAAUUGAACCUGAUUCGAAUUCAAUGGGGAAAUUAAAUUCGCAUUUGAUCGAGUUUGCAUGGAACUAUAUUCAAUUGAGUGCAAUCAAAGGCAAGAUUGUUUGUCAGCAUAUUGGCAUGCUGGAAUUCAAAGACUACCAAGUGGGAUAUAUGUAUGUACAUACAUGCGGAUAAUGAAAUCAAGAAGUGGGGCGUAUGAUUCACUAUCAGCCUAAUGAACUUAAAGUUGUAAGGAUGCUGUAAAAGAUCUAUCUAUAAGCGAAUGGAAACCCCUGAAAAAUUGCAAUACAAGCUAACAAAUUGA
Molecule: long non-coding RNA, 2013 nt
Organism: Drosophila santomea
Lineage: Eukaryota; Metazoa; Arthropoda; Insecta; Diptera; Drosophilidae
Exons: 2
Source: RefSeq, a predicted model, not a curated record